UGCGACCCCAGGUCACCCGUACUACCCGCUGAGUUUAAGCAUAUCAAUAAGCAGAGGAAAAGAAACUUACAAUGAUUCCCAUAGUAACGGCAAGCCAACAGGAAACAUCCCAUCCUUAGAAUCGGGCAGCUCCGUCGUCCAAAUUGUAGUCUAGAGAAGCGUCUUCAGCGGCAGACUGAGCCCAAGUCCCUUGGAAGGGGGCACUAGAGAUGGUGAGAGCCCCAUUGUACUCGGGCCCUGUUGCACCAUGAGGCAUUUUUGUCGAGUCAAGUUAUUUGGGAAUGCAGCCCAAAUCGGGCAAUGAAUUCCUUCCAAGGUUAAAUACGGGCGAGAGACCGAUAGCGAACAAGUAUCGCUAGGGAAAGAUGAAAAGGACUUUGAAAAGAGAGUCAAAUAGUGCUUAAAAUUGUCGGGAGAGAAGAAGAUGGGGGUCGGCGAUGCACCCCGAUCGAAUGUGGAACGGUGUUGAGCUGGUCCGCCGAUCGACUCGGGGCAUGGACCAACGUGGAUUAUGGGGGGAGGCCUAAGCCCAAGAUUUUGAUACGCUCGUGCAACGCUAUCUUCUUGAUUGUGGUAGGAAGCAUGCGCCUCUAGCGUUCUUUGGCAUCUGCACGCUUCGGACGCUGGCUUGUGAGCUCCCCAUUCGACCCGUCUUGAAACACAGACCAAGGAGUCUCACAUGUAUGCGAGUCAACGGACGAGUAAACCCUUAAGGCGUAAGGAAGCUGAUUGGUGGAUUCCUCUGAGGGGUGCACCGCCGACCGACCUUGAUCUUCUGUGAAGGGUUCGACUGUUGGCAUACCUGUUGUGACCCGACAAAUGGUGAACUAUGCCUGAGCGGACUGAAGCCAGAGGAAUAUCUGGUGGAGGCCCGCGGCGAUACUGACGUGAAAAUCAUUCGUCUGACUUGGGAAUAGGGGCGAAAGACUAAUCGAAUCGUCUAGUUGUUGGUUCCCUUCGAAGUAUCCCUCAGGAUAGCUGGAGCUCGCGUGCGAGUUCUAUAGGUUAAAGCUAAUGAUUAGAGGCAUCAGGGGUGCACCGCCCUCAACUUAUUCUCAAACUUUAAAUAGGUAGGACGAUAUGGCUGCUUUGUUGAGCCGCAGCACGAAUGCAAGAGCUCCAAGUGGGCCAUUUUUGGCAAGCGAAACUGGUGAUCCGGGAUGAAUCAGAAGCUGGGUUACGGUGCCAAACUGCGAGCUAACCUAGAUCCCACAAAGGGUGUUGGUCGAGUAAGACAGUAGGACAGUGGUCAUGGAUGUCGAAAUCUGCUAAGGAGUGUGUAACAACUCACAUGCAGAAUCAACUAGCCCCGAAAUUUGAUGGCGCUACACCCGGCCGUUGGGGCAAGUGCCAGGCCCCGAUGAGCAUGGGCGGAGCAGCCGUCGGUGCAGAUCUUGGUGGUAGUAGCAUAUAUUCAAAUGAUAACAUUGAAGGCCGAAGAGGGAAAGGUUCCAUGUGAAUGACACUUGCACAUGGGUAAGUCGAUCCUAAGGGUCAGGGGAACCCCGACAGAUAGCGUGUUUUGUGCGUACUCCGAAAGGGAAUCGGGUUACAAUUCCUGAACCGAGACGUGAUGGUUGACGGCAUCGUUAGGAAUUCUGGAUAUGUCAACGGGGGCCUCGGGAAGAGUUAUAUUUUUUGUUUAAUAGUCUGCCCACCAUGGAAACGACUCAGUCGGAGGUAGGGUCCAGCGGCUGAAGGAACAAUGCACGUCGCGUGGUGUCCGGUGCGCCCCCGGCGGCCCUUCAAAAUCUAGAGGACCGAGUACCAUCCAUGCCCUACCGUACUCAUAACUGCAUCAGGUCUCCAAGGUGAAUAGCCUCUGGUCAAUGGAACAAUGUAGGCAAAGGAAGUCGGAAAAAUGGAUCUGUAACUUCGGGAAAAAGAUUGGCUCUAAGGGCUAGGCACGGGGGUCCCAAUCCCGAACCCGUCGGCUGUUGGUGGAUUGCUCGAGAUGCUCCCAUGGCGAGAGCAGGUUGUCACAUGCCGGCCGAGGGAUGGACUAGGAACGGUUCCUUCGAGUUCCUUCCCCGGGGAUUCCGACAGUUUAGUUAAAACAAAUCAUUGCGAUGGUCCUUGCGGAUGUUUAGGCAAUGCGAUUUUUGCCUAGUGCUCUGAAUGUCAAAGUUAAGAAAUUCAACCAAGCGCGGUUAAACGGCAGGAGUAAUUAUGACUCUCUUAAGGUAGCCAAAUGCCUCGUCAUCUAAUUAGUGAUGCACAUGAAUGGAUUAAUGAGAUCCACACUCUCCCUAUCUACUAUUCAGCGAAACCACAGCUAAGGGAACGGGCUUGGCAGAAUCGGCAGAGAAAGAAGACCAUGUUAUAGCCUGUUUGGCCAAAAUUUGAGUUGUUUGGCCAAGCUUUAGAUGGAAAAAAAGUGCUCUUGAGGAGAAGCAGAAGCAGUUUUUGAGAAGCAGAAAAAAGUAGCUUCUUUCUAAAAGCACUUUUCUGAAAAGUACUUUUGAGAAAAAUACACUUAGAAGCAGUUUUGAAAAGCUUGGCGAAACACUAAUUACUGCUCAAAAGUGCUUUUCAAAUUAAUUAGCCAAACACAAACUGCUUCUCACCAAAAGCACUUUUUGAAAAGUACUUUUAAGAAAAACAUUUCUCAAAAUAAGCUAAUUUUAGAAACUUGGCCAAACAGGCUAUUAAGCUUGACUCUAGUCCGACUUUGAGAAAUGAUUUGAGAAGUGUAAUAUAAGUGGGAGCCGAAAGGAAGAAGUGAAAUACCACUGAUUUAAACGUUAUUUUACUUAUUCCGUGAAUCGAAAGUGGGACACUGCCCCUCUUUUUGGUCCCAAGGCUUGCUUGCAGGCUGAUCUGGGCGGAAGACAUUGUCAGGUGGCGAGCUUGGCUAGGGCAGCACAUCUUUUAAAAGAUAAUGCAUGUGUCCUAUUAUGAGCUCAAAGAUAACAGAAAUCUCAUGUGGAACAGAUGGGUAAAAGCUCAUUUGAUUAUGAUUUCCUGUACGUAUACGAACCAUGAAAGUGUGGCCUAACGAUCCUUUAGACCUUCGAAAUUCGAAACUAGAGCUGUUAGAAAACUUACCACAGGGAUAACUGGCUUGUGGCAGCCAAGCGUUCACAGCAACGUUACUUUUUGAUCCUUUGAUGUUGGCUUUUCCUAUAAUUGUGAAACAGAAUUCAUCAAGAGUUGGAUUGUUCAUCCACCAAUAGGGAACGUGAGUUAGGUUUAGACCAUCAUGAGAUAGGUUAGUUUUACCCUACUAAUGACAGUGUCGCAAUAGUAAUUCAACCUAGUAUAAGAGAAACUGUUGAUUCGCACAAUUGGUCAUCGCGUUUGGUUGAAAAGCCAGUGGAGCGAAGCUACCAUGCACUGGAUUAUGACUAAAUGCCUCUAAGUCAGAAUUCGGGCUAGAAGCAACGCAUGCGCCCGCCGUCUGCUUGCCGACCCACAGUAGGGCCUUUGGCCCCCAAGGGCACGCGUCUUUGGCUAAGUCAUCGCGACAGAAGAGCCGCAGUGGCCGCCUUAAAGUACAAUUUCCAUCGAGCGGCAAGUAGAAUCCUUUGCAGAUGACUUAGAUACGCGAUGGGGUAUUGUAAGUGGCAGAGUGGCCCUGCUUCCACGAUCCACUAAGAUUCAGCCCUUUGUCGCUAUGAUUCGU
RNAcentral lists this ribosomal RNA (3625 nucleotides) under Nicotiana tabacum (common tobacco). RNAcentral describes it as "eukaryotic LSU rRNA". It matches the Rfam family "Eukaryotic large subunit ribosomal RNA". The record is from RNAcentral. Lineage: Eukaryota; Viridiplantae; Streptophyta; Magnoliopsida; Solanales; Solanaceae.